CAAGCUGGCCACAAACAAGUGCACCGUUAGGUUUGACCUCGUGGCUUGGCUGGUGGGUCAAUGGGAGUUUUGUGCUCUGUCUCUGAGGCCAGGAGGGUGUCUGCUGAUGAGAUUCAUUAGCACAGAAGGAAACAACGUGGUAUUGUACUCGCUUAGCUUUUGCCUACCCGCAGACAACUUGGUAGUGGAAAGGUUAUAAGCCUUUGAGGAAGCUUGGCUCUGUAGGCUGUCUGUGCUGCUAUGCGGAUAACUUAUAGUCAGCAGGUAUCUUCAGGACAGAGCCUUUCUAAUGCAGCCUAUUGCAUGGAGACAACAGCUUUCAUCAGUGCUGAUGUUCUGAGAAAACGUGGGCGAAAGAAGAGCCAGACUGAAACGAAGCAUAGAAGGAUAGAUGCAGAACUGCUAGAUCUUCAGCUGUGGCUCUAGGGAUGUUACAGUCGGUACGUGUCAACUGAAUAUCCAGCUGGAGUGUCCCAGAGAGCAAGAGAGCUUCAACUUGAUAGGCUGUGUGCAUGAAGCAAAAACAACUUAUGCCCAGCUAAUUCAUUAGUCACGGUAAGAGCUCAAGGGUUAAUAUCCUACCUAGGAGGAAGGAACAAUGCAAACCCAGUGCAUGGUGCCCAGUCCCUUUUGCAUUGCCUGUGCGUCACUUCUGCAUGGAAAUGAGUGUGAAACUUUUUUCCCCCCCCCCUUGUGCUAUUAAUAAAGCUGUACACUGUGAGAGAAAAAUGAAUAACAAGAGGCUGUAGUUUUUAGGUGCCUCGACAGGAUGUUUUCUUGAUUAUCCUGUUUCUUGUAAACACUGGGAUGGCUUUUGUAGCCCAGAUGUAAAAGCAGCCUGGAUUCAUUGUUCUAACACCUGCUGUCCUUUAAAACGCACCCAGCACAACCCAUUGAUAAAAUUCAGGCUCAGAAACCUGCAGCACCAGGCUGAGCUCCGGUAGAUGGCUCAAAAAAAACCACAAACCUUUGAGAAUCUGACAUCCGCCCGAUUUUUUUUCCCCCCAUUAUAUUUGAUUUGGAGCGGGGAGGGGAAGGGAAGCUCAAGAUUAUUUUUUCCCUGCUCUUGUUCCCACAAUAGCAAUAAAAAACAAUGCUUUCUGGCUACAAGGUGGUAAAUUGUGAGAAAUAACCACAACAGCUCCCUUUUGCAGUGCAAGAGAGGGAGCCGGAUUUAUGAAUGAAACUGGUGGCUGUGGUUUUAUUUCCAGGCCUGUUCCUGCUCUCAGUAUGAUGAGAUGAAAUAAAAAAAGCCAGAGAGAAAACAGCUCCUAACUAUCGCAGUCAGGGGAAAGGCACAGCAUAGAUUUGAGUGCUACCAGUCCUUGUAAGGGAGGGGUGAAUGUUAGACUGUGGGUACCAUAGACACUCUCCUUUUGACAGACAACUGUGUGUGCAGGUGGAGAAGGUUUAUGUGCCUUAUGUUUACUGGAACGUUUCUCUAGGUAGGACUCAAGCCUGCUGUUCAGGGAGAACCUCUUUAAAACAUGUCCUAGAGCUGUAUUUCCUUGAGCCUCCUCUCACACAGGAGCUUCAUCCCAUUUACUUGAGCUUGUGUUUGCACUUGAACUGCAGUUUGCACUGUUGAUGAAGAA
Long non-coding RNA from Lagopus muta (rock ptarmigan), 1595 nucleotides. RefSeq lists it as uncharacterized. The record is from RefSeq and is a predicted model, not a curated record. The transcript is spliced from 3 exons. Lineage: Eukaryota; Metazoa; Chordata; Aves; Galliformes; Phasianidae.